This 358-nucleotide ribosomal RNA is filed under the name Pseudomonas sp. CL2.11. RNAcentral's name for it is "bacterial SSU rRNA". It matches the Rfam family "Bacterial small subunit ribosomal RNA", at positions 143 to 495 of the family's 1533-position model. The record is from RNAcentral. Lineage: Bacteria; Pseudomonadati; Pseudomonadota; Gammaproteobacteria; Pseudomonadales; Pseudomonadaceae.
ACAACGUUUCGAAAGGAACGCUAAUACCCGCAUACGUCCUACGGGAGAAAGCAGGGGACCUUCGGGCCUUGCGCUAUCAGAUGAGCCUAGGUCGGAUUAGCUAGUUGGUGAGGUAAUGGCUCACCAAGGCGACGAUCCGUAACUGGUCUGAGAGGAUGAUCAGUCACACUGGAACUGAGACACGGUCCAGACUCCUACGGGAGGCAGCAGUGGGGAAUAUUGGACAAUGGGCGAAAGCCUGAUCCAGCCAUGCCGCGUGUGUGAAGAAGGUCUUCGGAUUGUAAAGCACUUUAAGUUGGGAGGAAGGGCAGUAACUUAAUACGUUGCUGUCUUGACGUUACCGACAGAAUAAGCACCG